GAUUCCUACUAGUAUUGAAUUGAAUUGACUGUAAUGAUGGUUGUCUUUGAAUAAUCCUAGAAAGUUCGGCAUAAGAACUCGCUUAGAUGUUUGUCCAAGAGAUGACUUUGAAGCGAAUAAUAGCUAAAAAUGCUGUGAACCAUGAGUGGUUUAGUGAGGUCUCUUUGCCCAAAUGAAAAGAUUUUAUGCCGACAGUUCCUGUUUAACAUGCCCAAAACAGUAAUCCCAGGGGAUGAAGAUAUGGCUUUGGAAGUUGGGUCAACACCUCUAAGUCUUCUCUAGGUCAGUUGCUUAAGUUUACUGAUACGUUUAGGGGAAAAUUGUGUAUCAAUCAAGGUCUUUUUUUCUUUGAUAAAUUUUAAUGUGUUUUGUGUGAAAAUUUCAGCUAUGUCAAUGACUCAAGUUGCUUGCUGAAAUUUGUGUUGGUACUGGAUGUGAAGCA
This is a long non-coding RNA of Magnolia sinica, 442 nucleotides long. RefSeq lists it as uncharacterized. The record is from RefSeq and is a predicted model, not a curated record. The transcript is spliced from 3 exons. NCBI's taxonomy places the organism in Eukaryota, Viridiplantae, Streptophyta, Magnoliopsida, Magnoliales, Magnoliaceae.